GAUGAACGCUGGCGGCGUGCCUAAUACAUGCAAGUCGAGCGAACAGACGAGGAGCUUGCUCCUUUGACGUUAGCGGCGGACGGGUGAGUAACACGUGGGUAACCUACCUAUAAGACUGGGAUAACUUCGGGAAACCGGAGCUAAUACCGGAUAAUAUUUCGAACCGCAUGGUUCGAUAGUGAAAGAUGGCUUUGCUAUCACUUAUAGAUGGACCUGCGCCGUAUUAGCUAGUUGGUAAGGUAACGGCUUACCAAGGUAACGAUACGUAGCCGACCUGAGAGGGUGAUCGGCCACACUGGAACUGAGACACGGUCCAGACUCCUACGGGAGGCAGCAGUAGGGAAUCUUCCGCAAUGGGCGAAAGCCUGACGGAGCAACGCCGCGUGAGUGAUGAAGGUCUUCGGAUCGUAAAACUCUGUUAUUAGGGAAGAACAAACGUGUAAGUAACUGUGCACGUCUUGACGGUACCUAAUCAGAAAGCCACGGCUAACUACGUG
This 497-nucleotide ribosomal RNA is filed under the name uncultured bacterium. RNAcentral's name for it is "partial 16S ribosomal RNA". It matches the Rfam family "Bacterial small subunit ribosomal RNA", at positions 28 to 507 of the family's 1533-position model. The record is from RNAcentral.